Molecule: long non-coding RNA, 399 nt
Organism: Pseudoliparis swirei
Lineage: Eukaryota; Metazoa; Chordata; Actinopteri; Perciformes; Liparidae
Exons: 2
Source: RefSeq, a predicted model, not a curated record
GCAACCGAGAGGGGGUGAGGGGGUUGUUCCGUUAUACGGUGUUUACAGAGAUGGGAUGCAUGAAGUGUAUUUAAUCUGCUUUUAAAUGAGUCUGGAGUCCAGCUCCGGGCCAGACAGACAGGAGUGAUGGCUCCUACCCACAGUUCUAUGACCCCGAUGUGCACACGGCCCUAAAGGAAGCCGCACCCUCAGGUUAUGAGUGAUACUUCAGGAGGAAGGAAGCGAGCGCGACCCAAAAGAAGAAGCGGCCACUCCUGUUCUCUCUGUGGGCGACGUGCAACAGGAACAGGAAGUGCUGAGGUGCAAUACGUCAUGAGGGCAAUUCUACUUUUGACCUUUUCAAGGCACACGUCGCCCCGCACAACAUUGUCUUGCAUUAAACUGGAGGGUUUCUGCGUC